Molecule: ribosomal RNA, 253 nt
Filed under: uncultured bacterium
Lineage: Bacteria
Description: partial 16S ribosomal RNA
Rfam family: Bacterial small subunit ribosomal RNA
Source: RNAcentral
UACAGAGGUCUCAAGCGUUGUUCGGAUUCAGUGGGCGUAAAGGGUGCGUAGGCGGCGCGGUAAGUCGGGUGUGAAAUCUCGGGGCUUAACUCCGAAACUGCAUUCGAUACUGCCGUGCUUGAGGACUGGAGAGGAGACUGGAAUUUACGGUGUAGCGGUGAAAUGCGUAGAUAUCGUAAGGAAGACCAGUGGCGAAGGCGGGUCUCUGGACAGUUCCUGACGCUGAGGCACGAAGGCCAGGGGAGCAAACGGG